UCCAGAGGUCCCAAGCGUUGUUCGGAUUCACUGGGCGUAAAGGGUGCGUAGGUGGUCGGGUAAGUCUGAUGUGAAAUCUCCGGGCCUAACCCGGAAACUGCAUCGGAUACUAUUCGGCUAGAGGGUUGGAGGGGGGACUGGAAUACUUGGUGUAGCAGUGAAAUGCGUAGAUAUCAAGUGGAACACCAGUGGCGAAGGCGAGUCCCUGGACAACUCCUGACACUGAGGCACGAAAGCUAGGGGAGCAAACAGG
This 253-nucleotide ribosomal RNA is filed under the name uncultured bacterium. RNAcentral's name for it is "partial 16S ribosomal RNA". It matches the Rfam family "Bacterial small subunit ribosomal RNA", at positions 524 to 776 of the family's 1533-position model. The record is from RNAcentral.